Molecule: ribosomal RNA, 253 nt
Filed under: uncultured bacterium
Lineage: Bacteria
Description: partial 16S ribosomal RNA
Rfam family: Bacterial small subunit ribosomal RNA
Source: RNAcentral
GACAGAGGGUGCAAACGUUGUUCGGAAUUACUGGGCGUAAAGCGCGUGUAGGCGGCCCACUAAGUCUGAUGUGAAAGCCCGGGGCUCACCCCCGGAAGUGCAUUGGAAACUGGUGGACUCGAGUCCCGGAGAGGAGGGUGGAAUUCCUGGUGUAGCGGUGAAAUGCGUAGAUAUCAGGAGGAACACCGGUGGCGAAGGCGGCCCUCUGGACGGUGACUGACGCUGAGACGCGAAAGCGUGGGGAGCAAACAGG